Saccostrea echinata is the source of this 3838-nucleotide RNA transcript. RefSeq lists it as uncharacterized. Lineage: Eukaryota; Metazoa; Mollusca; Bivalvia; Ostreida; Ostreidae. The record is from RefSeq and is a predicted model, not a curated record. The transcript is spliced from 8 exons.
AUGUCAACUAUACUUAUCACAAAGCAUCCACGGCUGAAAGGGAAAUGAAGGAAUACACCCUCUUCUAAGAGUUUGAGGUGAAUAUUACGCCAAAUGCGAGCACAUUUUCCUUCGACAUUGGAGAACAACCAAAAGAAAAUAUACGCUGUGAAUCUAACUGCUUGCAUUUGACCUGCAAAUAUAAGUGGAUUCAGUAUAUAAAUGGUGCCAUUAAUCAGGAACAUGCCAUAGAAGGAAAAAAUUUCCUUGUGAAUAAAGCUAAAAAGGGGAAGAAUAUUUACAGAUGUUAUGUUGAAGUACCACUGUAUCGCAUGGAUUUUUAUGGAUAUAGCAAUCCAAUUACAGUUAUUAUCCAAGAAAGAGGAUCAUCCACUUCAGCUACACACAGUGUCUCAGUGAUUCAGUCAAGUACCAACACGGUGUACUCUCACUCUAUUACUGCUGCAAAAAAAGUCGAAAAUAAUGGAAAAUUUUUAAUAAUCGGUAUUUGUGGAGGGGGAGUUCUGCUUCUGAUUGCCUUUUUAAUCCUAGUGAUAGUACUUUGUGUGAGGUCAAAACAAAAGCUGAAUAAAACACGUAAGUAAUUGAUAAACGAUACUUCUCAGGAAAAAGAUCUAGGGGUAGAUAUGACUGAUAAUAAUCUCUAUAUCUCUGCCGACAUCGAAACUGAAAUGCCGCAAUCAAACCCUAAACAAAAUACAAAAGAAAACGGAAAUGACGUCUAUGCUGUCGUCAACAAGACAAAGAAAAAUGAGAAUGACAUCCCCGUGUACGCUGAAAUCCGUAAAUCUCAGUCAGGAAAGGAAAAAACAGAAAUGAACAAGAAACAGUCAGUGAAGGAAAAAAAUCAAUCCGGACAAAAUGUAAACAACAGUGGAAUGGUUUAUUUAGAAAUUGAUUUUGACAACAUGUCGUCAAACAGAAAAACCUCCAUACUGGGAGCAGAAGAAAGUACGCAGUAUGCCGACAUAAACGCAAUAGAACAUGCCGACCCACUGUUAAAGAGUGUCGAAUGAAGAAAAAUAAAAUCCUGAAUUCCUUCAAAAUGGAAAGGAAUCAAAAGCGGAAUAAAUAUGUUUAGAAUAUAUGCAAGGCUUUGGAAAUUCAUGUUUUCAUAACGCUUACAAUAACUUGGCUUUUAUAUGAUUCAUUUCAAUGUACAGUAGUACAUUUAUUAAAGUGUAUUUUCUAUGAAACUUCACAAUUGACGACAGCCUCAUACGUGUAAUAGCGCAUUUCUGGAACACGGUUUCUAUGUAUCAAACGGGAAAAUAUCACAUUUUAAUAGUAUUUGUAAAUAUUUUUUAUGUACUUACUGCUUCUUCAAAUUCAUUUUCUAAGAACCAAACUUCUUUAAAUACAUGUAACUCUCUAAAUGUAAAAAGAAUGACAAAUUCUUUCCGCUUUAUGCACAAAUUUAUUUGAAAGAACUAAGGUAGUAAAUUAAAUCUUCACAGUAAGGUCCUUUUGCUACUGCUGCAUCUCUGAUCAUUUAAUGGAAAUAUAGGACAGUCACCCUUCAUGCAGAAAAACGGAAAUUGUUAGGAGUCCCAACACACUGGCAGUCAAGUGAAACUUUAAAGAAAUAAUAUACUAAUUACUAUAUAAAUAUUUUAUUUUUAUAUCCACCUUCAUAUUAUAUAUUAUCAUUAUACAUAUUAUGGUGUCCCAUUGUUUCUUUUGAAGUACAUAUACUUAUUAUGUUGUCUCCUUGCUUCCUUUAAAGUACACAUACCUAUUAUGUUGUCUCAUUGUUUCUUUAGAAGUACAUGUACUUAUCAUGCUAUCUCCGUGUUUCUUCAGAAGUACAUAUACCUUUUAUGUUGUCUCCUUCCUUCCUUAGAAGUACCUCAAAGCCGCACAGUUAGAAAACUUAAAAGAAUACUUAAAAGAAAAUUUUCCAUCCCUUGACCGAAUACACUAAAUUUGACGGGGUUCACUUUGGCUUGGCGAAGGAACAGUUGCUACCUAUUUUUUUAUCGACUUAGGUCAGUCUCGGCCGUGAUUCGAACACACGACUGGGUCAUUUUAUGGUAAUUAUGUUUUCCUUGAGACUAAAACUGACGUGUUUUUCUGUUUUCGAUUUAGUUUCAGGUUAGAUACAACAAUGUUUUUGAUUGGUGCAUACAAACUUGUAUGAGGCCAAUUAGAGGGCGCAUUUCUAACCCCGUUAAUCUUAGUCUAUUUGGUCAAGCGUUUAUGUGCAGCGGAGUUGAUCAGAAACCCUUGACUUGGGAAGAUGCACAAAUUUAUAUUUAAAUACAAUACUAUGAAAAUGCAUCUAGAUCGGUAGACUGACAAUUGCAGUAAAGACAGACUAAUACCUUUUGGAGGAUUGUUGGAAACACAUUUUGAUAAAACGAUAGAUAAUUAUUUCUAAUAAAAAUCCUUUAAAUUUAAUUACAUUUGUAUUCAUUUGAAGGUUAAGGAACCAUAUUUUCUUUGAUCUUCAAAUUUUAUCGCAGUUUAAUACUAUCCGUGGAUGAUUUUUCUUCUUUGCAUGAACUAUCAGACUAGUAAUAUAUAAAUAGUUGACCACUCUUAGAUUUAUUUUCUUUAAUGAAGCUACAAAGCAGGCGACACAUACGUUCCUUGGAACACUCUAGUUUAUCUAUCGUAUGCACUGUGUAUAGUAGACUGUAUACUCCUGCAUACUUUUUGUGUGUAUACUUUUCACACGUAAGUGUAGAUAAUUAAUAAAUAGUAAAAAUUAAAGGCAUUAUUCAAAAAUACACUUCUGGAGAAUUCUUCUGGGUCAGAAAAAUAAAAAUGCUUUCUUAUGAAGGGUGUAAAUUCUGUUCAAAUCAUGGUCACGGGGGAAGGAUGGACACACUGAAAGGUAUCCAAGUUAAAUGAAGGAAAAUAUAGAAAAUUUUCUCCAGAACAGGAGGGCAAUAAUAAGUCAUUUAAGGGGUUAGGGUGCGGCAUAAUUGAGAACCUACUUAUUAUGCAGCAAUUUAUAUCAAUUUUAUUAUAAAACUUCUGAUGAACAACAGCAUGGCCAUAAUGAGUCAUAUCAAUAUACAUGUAUUAGCAUCUUCAUGUAAUGUAGAAUCAGGUUUAUUAAUUCAUUGUCCCAGAGGCUAGAAUUGGGCCACAAUAAGGUUCAACAUUUUUAUAGGAAUACAUACAUGUAUGUAAUAGGGGAAUUCGUUUCAAAUCUUCUCAACAAUAACAGGUCCACAAUAGGCCAAAUUAAUAUGCACGCAUCUUUAUGUAAUCUAGAAUCAGGGUUGUUCAAACCAUAGUCCCUAGAACUAGGAUGGGCCACAAUAGGGGUCAACAUUUAACAUCGAAAUAUAGAAGAAAUUUUUAAAAGUCUUUAAGAACAACAGGGCUACAAUUAAACAUAUGCAAUCAUCUUUAUUUCUUGUACAUUCAAGUUUUUUAAAUGGCUCCCAAGAGCUUAGGGGAACGAAUUAAUCUCACAUUUUUUAUGUAGUGACAUAAACAGUGUACAUGUAUUUAAAAAUCGCUCGUAUUCUAUACGUAUUUUUCAAAACAAAAGGUAUCUAAAUUUGAUGAAAAAGUUUCAUAAUUAAUGAAAUAAAGAAUUUUUAAAAUGUAUUAAUAUUUACAUUCAUGUGACUUAUCCAUAAAAUAUAUAAGAAAUUAUAAUACUUAGCCCAAGCUUAGGUUUUCAAUCACUUAAUACCACGGAGAUCUUUACAUCAAAUUUAGAGACCUUUUUUUGGUACAUGUACUUAUACGAUUUUAAUACAAUUCAUUUGGUUUGCAAAAGAUAUAUGUGCAUUUACUGUUUUCCUUAUAUGCCAUAAAAAAAGGUUUCUAAUGCAUCUUAGAACUCAAGUGUCUAUAUUAAAGUACUAAACAUCAA